UUCGGCACGACUUAGGACGUAAUUGGUCUUUUCUUUGUUUGUAUUGAGUCAGAUUGUAUUAAAUAAAUGUAAUAUGAUUGUCAGGUGAGCCGGGACAGCCUUCUUCCUCCGCCCAGCCGCCACAGUGAUUGUCGUCAAGUCUGCUACAGGAGGAUUUUAUUUUGGUUAACCUGCUUUUCUCCCUCGCAGGUCAAUUAUUACUGUUUGUAUAACCUUGUUAAAUCUUAGAAUUUCCGCAUGUGUUAGAAUUGUUAUUUGAUUUGGGUCUGUAAACUAAAUUAUUAUUUUGGGACCUGUAAACUUAAUAUGCUAUGCAUGUUUGAUGGAUUGGAUGAGGGAGCUGAGCUCCCAUUUAUUAUUAUGUUGAUGAGUAUGUGGAGGGUGAGCUGAGCUCCCCAAUUGACUA
Molecule: long non-coding RNA, 406 nt
Organism: Hevea brasiliensis (rubber tree)
Lineage: Eukaryota; Viridiplantae; Streptophyta; Magnoliopsida; Malpighiales; Euphorbiaceae
Exons: 2
Source: RefSeq, a predicted model, not a curated record